Molecule: ribosomal RNA, 492 nt
Filed under: uncultured bacterium
Lineage: Bacteria
Description: partial 16S ribosomal RNA
Rfam family: Bacterial small subunit ribosomal RNA
Source: RNAcentral
AGUGAACGCUGGCGGUAGGCCUAACACAUGCAAGUCGAACGGCAGCACAGUAAGAGCUUGCUCUUACGGGUGGCGAGUGGCGGACGGGUGAGGAAUACAUCGGAAUCUACUUUUUCGUGGGGGAUAACGUAGGGAAACUUACGCUAAUACCGCAUACGACCUACGGGUGAAAGCAGGGGAUAUUCGGACCUUGCGCGAUUGAAUGAGCCGAUGUCGGAUUAGCUAGUUGGCGGGGUAAAGGCCCACCACGGCGACGAUCCGUAGCUGGUCUGGGAGGAUGAUCAGCCACACUGGAACUGAGACACGGUCCAGACUCCUACGGGAGGCAGCAGUGGGGAAUAUUGGACAAUGGGCGCAAGCCUGAUCCAGCCAUACCGCGUGGGUGAAGAAGGCCUUCGGGUUGUAAAGCCCUUUUGUUGGGAAAGAAAAGCAGCAGGUUAAUACCCCGCUGUUCUGACGGUACCCAAAGAAUAAGCACCGGCUAACUUCGUG